UUAAGGCUGAGACUUGAUGCAUACCCGUUGUGGGGAAUUCAGUGAUCCUAUGCUGCCGAGAAAAGCCUCUAGUGAGUUCAUACACGGCCCGUACCCCAAACCGACACAGGUGAUCAGGUAGAGAAUACCAAGGCGAUCGAGAGAACUGUGGUUAAGGAACUCGGCAAAAUGCCCCCGUAACUUCGGGAGAAGGGGGACCAUGCCCGGUGAACAUCUUCACGGUGGGAGCUGGGUGUGGUCGCAGAGACCAGAGAGAAGCGACUGUUUACUAAAAACACAGGUCCGUGCGAAGACGUAAGUCGAUGUAUACGGACUGACGCCUGCCCGGUGCUGGAAGGUUAAGAGGACCGGUUAGCCGUAAGGCGAAGCUGAGAAUUUAAGCCCCAGUAAACGGCGGUGGUAACUAUAACCAUCCUAAGGUAGCGAAGUUCCUUGUCGGGUAAGUUCCGACCUGCACGAAUGGCGUAACGACUUCUCUGCUGUCUCGACCACAGACUCGGCGAAAUUGCACUACGAGUAAAGAUGCUCGUUACGCGCGGCAGGACGAAAAGACCCCGGGACCUUUACUAUAGCUUGGUAUUGGCGUUCGAUUCGGUUUGUGUAGGAUAGGUGGGAGACUGUGAAGCAUGCACGCCAGUGUGUGUGGAGUCGUUGUUGAAAUACCACUCUGAUCGUAUUGGACGUCUAACCUCGGCCCAUGAUCUGGGUUAGGGACAGUGCCUGGUGGGUAGUUUAACUGGGGCGGUUGCCUCCUAAAGAGUAACGGAGGCGCCCAAAGGUUCCCUCAGCCUGGAUGGCAAUCAGGUGUUGAGUGCAAGUGCACAAGGGAGCUUGACUGUGAGACUGACACGUCGAGCAGGGACGAAAGUCGGGACUAGUGAUCCGGCACCGGCAAGUGGAAGCGGUGUCGCUCAACGGAUAAAAGGUACCCCGGGGAUAACAGGCUGAUCUUCCCCAAGAGUCCAUAUCGACGGGAUGGUUUGGCACCUCGAUGUCGGCUCGUCGCAUCCUGGGGCUGGAGUAGGUCCCAAGGGUUGGGCUGUUCGCCCAUUAAAGCGGCACGCGAGCUGGGUUUAGAACGUCGUGAGACAGUUCGGUCUCUAUCCGCCGCGCGCGUAAGAAACUUGAGGAAGGCUGUCCCUAGUACGAGAGGACCGGGACGGACGAACCUCUGGUGUGCCAGUUGUUCCACCAGGAGCAUGGCUGGUUAGCUACGUUCGGAAGGGAUAACCGCUGAAAGCAUCUAAGCGGGAAGCCUGUUCCAAGAUGAGGUUUCUCACCACCUUGCGUGGUUAAGGCCCCCUACAGACCAUGGGGUUGAUAGGCCGGAACUGGAAGCGCAGCAAUGCGUGGAGGUGACCGGUACUAAUAGGCCGAGGGCUUACU
This 1386-nucleotide ribosomal RNA is filed under the name metagenome. Its description in RNAcentral is "bacterial LSU rRNA". It matches the Rfam family "Bacterial large subunit ribosomal RNA", at positions 1550 to 2925 of the family's 2925-position model. The record is from RNAcentral.